UGCAGUCGAGGGGCAGCAUCACUUCGGUGGAUGGCGACCGGCGCACGGGUGAGUAACGCGUACACAAUCUACCUCUAAGUCUGGGAUAGCCUUGGGAAACUGAGAAUAAUACCGGAUGUGAUCACAAUAUGGCAUCAUAUAGUGAUUAAAGAUUUAUUGCUUAGAGAUGAGUGUGCGUCCUAUUAGCUAGUUGGUAAGGUAACGGCUUACCAAGGCAAUGAUAGGUAGGGGGCGUGAGAGCGUGGACCCCCACACGGGUACUGAGACACGGACCCGACUCCUACGGGAGGCAGCAGUAAGGAAUAUUGGACAAUGGGCGAAAGCCUGAUCCAGCCAUUCCGCGUGUAGGAUGAAGGCCCUAUGGGUUGUAAACUACUUUUAUAUAGGAAGAAUAAUUUCGAUUUAUCGAGACUUGACGGUACUAUAAGAAUAAGCACCGGCUAACUCCGUGCCAGCAGCCGCGGUAAUACG
Molecule: ribosomal RNA, 471 nt
Filed under: uncultured bacterium
Lineage: Bacteria
Description: bacterial SSU rRNA
Rfam family: Bacterial small subunit ribosomal RNA
Source: RNAcentral